UCCGGCUUAUCACCGGCAGUCCCACUAGAGUGCCCAACUAAAUGAUGGCAACUAAUGGCAGGGUUGCGCUCGUUGAUGGACUUAACCAAACAUCUCACGACACGAGCUGAAGACGGCCAUGCAACACCUGUCACUGGAUUCCCGAAGGCACUCUCGUCUUUCGACAAAAUUCCCAGGAUGUCAAGCCUUGGUAAGGUUCUUCGCUUACCAUCGAAUUAAACAACACGCUCCACCGCUUGUGCGGGUCCCCGUCAAUUCCUUUGAGUUUUAGUCUUGCGACCGUACUCCCCAGGCGGAAUACUUAACGCGUUAGCUUCGCUACAUACCGGGUCGAUACGGCAUACAGCUAGUAUUCAUCGUUUACGGCGUGGACUAC
This 376-nucleotide unclassified non-coding RNA is filed under the name uncultured bacterium. RNAcentral describes it as "contains 16S-23S intergenic spacer region". The record is from RNAcentral.